This 4116-nucleotide long non-coding RNA is filed under the name Malus domestica (apple). RNAcentral describes it as "long non-coding RNA (MDOM_LNC005849)". The record is from RNAcentral. Lineage: Eukaryota; Viridiplantae; Streptophyta; Magnoliopsida; Rosales; Rosaceae.
GGGUUAUGGGAUGCUCACUAUUACCAAGCCCACCUCACGAUGAUACGAUGUUGGCUAGCAAAAAUAAUAAUGAGAGGGUACAAUUACCCAUUCACAACAACCUCUUGUGAUUACCCAUCUUUUUGGCCUCUAGAGAGCAAUGCCUCACGAUGAUACGAUGUUGGCAUCAUUUCUCUUAGUUAAGUUCUUUCCCACCAUGCCGGUUUAGAUAGGGGUUCAAUCAUGACCUCACGAUGAUACGAUGUCGGCCACACUCGUUGCCUACCUUAACCUCAUCAAAUGUUUUAAAUAAACUCCUCCUGAGUAUAAGCAUGCACUUUGCACUCCCCCAUGAUAGCGUGAAGGCGAUGUACAAGUCAUAAACGAUUGGAGCCUACCAUGGUGGAAGGCCAUGAAAAAGUGUUCAAAGCACUCUUACGCUUACAACUUAAUAUUGUUUGUUGGUUGAGGGAUUUUAAGGUCUCAUCAUUUUUAUUCAUUUAAUCACAUUCAAAUAAAUAAUGUCCUAUUACAACUACUAGUCCAAAGUUAAUGAAAUUAGUAGCAUAUGAUAUCCCCACUAUUCGUUUUCAUAAAACAAAUCAAUAUCAAAACAUUUAUCAAAAUAUUGGAGAUAUAUAUAACUACUAAUUGUAUUCAUUAUAGUUUAGUAGCGUUUGAUACUCCCACUAUUUGUUUUAAGAAAAACAAAUCAAUAUCAAAAACGAAUUUUUCAAAUAUUGGAAGUAACUACUACUACUAAGGUUUUUGCAUUCCUUUGAAAUUGGACUUUAUAGUUAUUUUAGGCUCUUGGAUGACCAUGGACUUAUUAGGUUAUUGCAACAACGAGCCAACAUUGUUGAAUAUAAACUCGGGGAGGUUGUGUCAAUUUAAUUACGUGCUUAUCAAUCCAAUUAAAACAAUUUCAUUGAGCCAUUAGAAAUGAAAGACAAUCAAUCAUUGCUAAUUAGGGCAUUGGACCCAUUUAAUCUUUAAUCUCAUGUCAAAACCCUCUUUUAGUUAUGUCUUCUUACCAAUAGUUAAAGAAACUCUAGUCUAGCACUAGAGGGAAUCAACUACCAAAUAGAGAUUAAGAAGUAAUAAGAAUUACAAACCGAUUUGUACAAAUUCCUAUAAAUUACAUAUACUAAAAGGGGAGAGAUAGAUUAAUGUCAAGCGUGACAAGGUCCAAUUAAACAGUAAUUAAAACACAUUCCCAAGGUUCAAACAAUUUGAUUUUAGCGCCUUAUCUCAUAGCUCAAUUAUAGUUUCAGGCAUAAGUCCAUAGUCACCAUUUUCUAACUACUUAAUCACAUUUAAAUAAUCAAAAUGGAAUGCAACAUGAACAUUUAGAUUUAGUGCAUAUGGGCAUAAUAGUGUUAUGAGUUUAAACAACUAACAAAAUUAAAAUCAAAUAUUUUAACUUUCUAGUUAGUAGGGGCUUAAAUGCAAAUAUGGAAAAGUUAGGGGUCAAACCGUAAAUACUUGAAAGUAUAAUAUCAACUUUUCAAAGAUUACAAAAUAGCCCCACAAGUGGAUAAAUCCACUAGGGAGGCCGGCCACAUUAAGGGGAUGGGAGGUCUCUUGCACAUUCUUACACAACAUGCAUUAAAUUCCACAUUAUGUAGAAAAAAUUAAAUUUUGCUUGUCACUUGGUUUUGCUUCAAAGACUUUAGUGAAAAGGGUUGAUGGAAAUCUCCUAGUCAAGUCUAGGAUUUAAUAAAUUUAUGAUAUGGUUAUGGAUGGUAUGAACAUCAUCCAAAACCACAAAACAAUGCAUGAAAACCAAACAAAACCAUUUUCACCAAAAACCAAACCAUGAACACCAAGAACAUAACCAUGAACUUAUUUUCAAGAUUUGUAUAUUCUUGGUGAUUUUUCAAACCCAAAAACAAAAGUGACAAGAACUCUUCUUUCAAGCUUUAAAAGGAUGUGAGAGUGGUUUACAAUAAUCACAAACACAACCCAAAACCACCCCCAAAACCGUGCCCUCCCUUUGGUUCAAAACCCCAAAUUUUGUUCAUGACUUAUUCUUCAUUCAUGCAUACAAAACAACUUUUACAUGCAUAUCUUUUUCAACUCUUGAUUUAUAUUUUUCAACCAUUGAAAAACAAAAGAUAAACAUACUUAAAUGAAGAAAUAAUAUGUCAAAUUAGUUCAAAACUCAAUUUUCAUUCAUGCAUACAAAACAACUUUUGCAUACAUAUCUUUCUCAACUAUUGACUAACAUUUUUCAACUAUUGAAAAAAAAAAGAUAAACAUAUAUUGAAUGAAGCAAUAAUCAUGUCAUACAUAAUAUUAAUACCCAUAUGCAUAAAAUCCAAAAGGACACAUUAUACAUAAACCUUUGGCUCUGAUACCACUUGAAGGGGAAAUUAUGAGUUUAACACAUGAGAUUUCUAAAUGACUGCAUGCAUAUACAAAUCAAAAUUUAUAUACAUGAGCAACGGAAGCAAUUUAUCAAAUAAUAUCAAAGCUAUAGUCAUGAAAAUCCCCUUCAAGGUUCAUAGGUUUAUAUAUAAUGCAUCUAAAACAUUUAACUUAAGAACAAAGUCAAGGAAUAGAUCUAUACCUCUUGAUCUUGAUUUUAGACCAAGGAUGGACCACCUCCAAGCCCUUUGCUCCUUGAAGUCCUUGAGCCUAGCCUCCCUCCUUGCCUCCUCCAUUUUGAAUGUAAGAGUGCUCCAAGGUUCUCCUUAAGUCUCCAAAGGAGAAGACCUCAAAAGAUCCACACCUACUAGUGUAGUGAGAUGGAUGGUGGAAUAACCAAAAGGGUGAAAGAUUGUUAGUUAAAUCACCCCCAAGGUGGCCGGCCUUUGUAAUGUUUUUAGAGAUAUUUCUUUUGCCUCUUUGUUUUUUUAAACACACAAAAACCCUAAGGAUUAAUUUCUAUAAAGUUCCUUAUAUAGACAAAAAGAAACCUAGUCAACAACUUGACUAAAUAUCUCUCCCUUUCCACUUAAAGUGGCCGGCCUCUUUGUGUUGGAUUUGGGCUUUGGGCUUUUAUAUAUUUCAAGUCAUCCAAUGCUUGAAUAAAAGCCCAAUGAGUUUAGGCCCAAUGGGCCCAAUUAAACCCGAACGUUUCUAUAAGCCCAAAACGAUCUUUUAUCGCUUUUAUGAUUUCUUUAGACUUUCUAAAUUAAUCACAACACUUAAUUAAUCCAAUUAAUUAUUUCCUCCAUCCAGUAAUUACUCACUACAAUAGUGUAUCGGUGUACAAUCAUUUUAGGUUCUAAUUAGCAAGGCAGUGAGGUGAUUGGCAUCAAUCCAAUUGAUUAUAUUUAAUUCAAUCACUUAGUGAAUUAAAACUUCUUUUUAAUUCACCUUCUUCUUUGAUGACUACAUUUAAUCAUCUAGAAGAACUCACAAGCUAUGAGUGACAUCUAACCAUAUGUCAUAGCUACCCAAGCUAAUGUAGAAGCUGUUCGGAGAACCUAUUCAGUUAGAAUUACAAUGUAAUUCGAUCAUUCUCUAAAACAAUACUCUCAACCACAUUACUAGGGUAUGGAUAUAUUAUGUCAAACCCCUAAUGUGAUUAUUCCUUCUUAUAUGAUUCAAUUGAGUCGUAUAGGAACACUUUCCUUUAUUACGCUCGAUACUUCGGCCGAAGAUUCCCGAAUCAUAUCUUAGAGUAUUCUUCCUCUCUUAUCGAAGAUUAGAGAUCCCUUGUUGCGCAUUCACUUGCCUUCAUGACUAAGUGGCUUAACCCCAAUUAUGCCGUGGACACCUGCGAAUGGGAUGACUUUGACAUAAACAAAGAUUAAGUACUUAGCCACAAGACAACGACGAUGCCUCAGGUCAAAGGACUAUUUACCAAGCCCACCUCACGAUGAUACGAUGUUGGCUAGCAAAAAUAAUAAUGAGAGGGUACAAUUACCCAUUCACAACAACCUCUUGUGAUUACCCAUCUUUUUGGCCUCUAGAGAGCAAUGCCUCACGAUGAUACGAUGUUGGCAUCAUUUCUCUUAGUUAAGUUCUAUCCCACCAUGCCGGUUUAGAUAGGGGUUCAAGCAUGACCUCAUGAUGAUACGAUGUUGGCCACACUCGUUGCCUACCUUAACCUCAUCAAAUGUUUUAAAUAAACUCCUCCUGAAUAUAAGCAUGCACUUUGCACUCCCCCAUGAUAGGGUGAAGGCG